RNAcentral lists this long non-coding RNA (333 nucleotides) under Nothobranchius furzeri (turquoise killifish). RNAcentral describes it as "lncRNA (ENSNFUG00015005777.1)". Lineage: Eukaryota; Metazoa; Chordata; Actinopteri; Cyprinodontiformes; Nothobranchiidae. The record is from RNAcentral.
AUGGUCAGACUUUCUAAAGCAUCACAGGACCUAUCGAGAAACUCCAGGAUGGUUUCAUCUGGUUUGCUGCCAAAAGGGAAGACUCAGAGAAACCCAGAGAGAGGACGGGGGAGGGAUCCCGUUCUCCCUCCCUCCUCUGAACUGAGAGGGAAAGUUUUCGCACUGGCACUAGGAAUGUGCCUCUCUCCUUCAGCAGGAGGUGCCCUGCAUACCAGGGGACUCCCUUGCCUCUCAUCCACUCGCCCUGACCGAAACUCUGUGACACUCUGCCCUCGUCAGCACACAGCUGCCGUUAAGUUUUCACAGGAAACAAUGAAGACCAUCCCACACUGA